GUGGUAAUGCCGGAUGCUCCAGUUGACCGCAUGGUCCUCUGGGAAAGCUUUUGCGGUAUGGGAUGGGGUCGCGUCCUAUCAGCUUGAUGGCGGGGUAACGGCCCACCAUGGCUUCGACGGGUAGCCGGCCUGAGAGGGCGACCGGCCACAUUGGGACUGAGAUACGGCCCAGACUCCUACGGGAGGCAGCAGUGGGGAAUAUUGCACAAUGGGCGCAAGCCUGAUGCAGCGACGCCGCGUGCGGGAUGACGGCCUUCGGGUUGUAAACCGCUUUUGACUGGGAGCAAGCCCUUCGGGGUGAGUGUACCUUUCGAAUAAGCACCGGCUAACUACGUGCCAGCAGCCGCGGUAAUACGUAGGGUGCAAGCGUUAUCCGGAAUUAUUGGGCGUAAAGGGCUCGUAGGCGGUUCGUCGCGUCCGGUGUGAAAGUCCAUCGCUUAACGGUGGAUCCGCGCCGGGUACGGGCGGGCUUGAGUGCGGUAGGGGAGACUGGAAUUCCCGGUGUAACGGUGGAAUGUGUAGAUAU
This 526-nucleotide ribosomal RNA is filed under the name Bifidobacterium adolescentis. Its description in RNAcentral is "partial 16S ribosomal RNA". It matches the Rfam family "Bacterial small subunit ribosomal RNA", at positions 160 to 697 of the family's 1533-position model. Lineage: Bacteria; Bacillati; Actinomycetota; Actinomycetes; Bifidobacteriales; Bifidobacteriaceae. The record is from RNAcentral.